Molecule: ribosomal RNA, 135 nt
Filed under: uncultured eukaryote
Lineage: Eukaryota
Description: partial 18S ribosomal RNA
Rfam family: Eukaryotic small subunit ribosomal RNA
Source: RNAcentral
UGGUGGAGCGAUUUGUCUGGUUAAUUCCGAUAACGAACGAGACCCUAGCCUGCUAAAUAGUCUGCAGAUCGCAUCAUCUGCAGCACUUCUUAGAGGGACAAGCGGCAUUUAGCCGCACGAAAAUGAGCAAUAACA